AAUAAGAAGCAAUAUUUGCAAUUAGUUUCGACCUAAUAUUAAGGUUAUUAUUAACCCUUAUUU
This 63-nucleotide transfer RNA is filed under the name Bostrichoidea sp. 4 KM-2017. Its description in RNAcentral is "tRNA-Arg". Lineage: Eukaryota; Metazoa; Arthropoda; Insecta; Coleoptera. The record is from RNAcentral.